GUCUGGUGUGGUGGUGCACGCCUGUAAUCCAGUGGCUCGGGAGGCUGAGACAGGAGGAUUGUGAGUUCAAAGCCAGCCUCAGCAAUGGUAAGGCGCUAAGGAACUCAGUGAGACCCUGUCUCUA
This 124-nucleotide small RNA is filed under the name Marmota monax (woodchuck). The record is from RNAcentral. Lineage: Eukaryota; Metazoa; Chordata; Mammalia; Rodentia; Sciuridae.